Molecule: ribosomal RNA, 301 nt
Filed under: uncultured bacterium
Lineage: Bacteria
Description: partial 16S ribosomal RNA
Rfam family: Bacterial small subunit ribosomal RNA
Source: RNAcentral
CAGCCGCCGCGGUAAUACGAAGGGGGCUAGCGUUGCUCGGAAUGACUGGGCGUAAAGGGCGCGUAGGCGGAUUGUUUAGUUAGGCGUGAAAUUCCUGGGCUUAACCUGGGGACUGCGCUUAAUACAGGCAGUCUAGAGUGAGGAAGAGGGUUGUGGAAUUCCCAGUGUAGAGGUGAAAUUCGUAGAUAUUGGGAAGAACACCGGUGGCGAAGGCGGCAACCUGGUCCUUGACUGACGCUGAGGCGCGAAAGCGUGGGGAGCAAACAGGAUUAGAUACCCCAGUAGUCCCUGUCUCUUAUAA